UAUUAGAAUUGGUGAAUUAGGCCUGUAUCCCAUGCCACAAACCCUGAAGUGAGUCCAGAGAAGAGCAACAAAGCUGGUGAGGAGGCAAGAGAGCAAGUCUUGUGGCCUCAGGCCUGUUAGGCAAGAUAAUGGAAGUAGGUAAUGCCACGUGGUGGCUGUGGACAGACACUUGAGUUUUCAGGUCUCCAUUGUUGCAAUUGGAAGAGUAGAGAAUGUUGUCUUCACUUUAAAUGAAUUUUUUUUUAAUCAUUUGUCUGUGAGAGAAGUAUUUUUUC
Non-coding RNA from Cyanistes caeruleus (blue tit), 275 nucleotides. The record is from RefSeq and is a predicted model, not a curated record. NCBI's taxonomy places the organism in Eukaryota, Metazoa, Chordata, Aves, Passeriformes, Paridae.